GAAAUGCGAUAAGUAAUGUGAAUUGCAGAAUUCAGUGAAGCAUCGAAUCUUUGAACGCAACUUGCGCUCCUUGGUAUUCCUUGGAGCAUGCCUGUUUGAGUAUCAUGAAAUCUUCAAAGUAAAUCUUUUGUUAACUCAAUUGGUUUCUACUUUGGUAUUGGAGGUCUUUGCAGCUUCACACCUGCUCCUCUUUGUUCAUUAGCUGGAUCUCAGUGUUAUGCUUGGUUCCACUCGGCGUGAUAAGUUAUCUAUCGCUGAGGACACUGUAAAAGGUGGCCAAGGUAAAUGCAGAUGAACCGCUUCUAAUAGUCCAUUGACUUGGACAAUACUUUUAUGAUCUGAUCUCAAAUCAGGUAGGACUACCCGCUGAACUUAAGC
RNAcentral lists this unclassified non-coding RNA (378 nucleotides) under plant metagenome. RNAcentral's name for it is "partial contains 5.8S ribosomal RNA, internal transcribed spacer 2, and large subunit ribosomal RNA". The stretch from base 1 to 105 matches the Rfam family "5.8S ribosomal RNA", at positions 50 to 154 of the family's 154-position model. The record is from RNAcentral.